This 355-nucleotide unclassified non-coding RNA is filed under the name soil metagenome. Its description in RNAcentral is "partial contains 5.8S ribosomal RNA, internal transcribed spacer 2, and large subunit ribosomal RNA". The stretch from base 1 to 120 matches the Rfam family "5.8S ribosomal RNA", at positions 35 to 154 of the family's 154-position model. The record is from RNAcentral.
GAUGAAGAACGUAGCGAAAUGCGAUAAGUAAUGUGAAUUGCAGAAUUCAGUGAAUCAUCGAAUCUUUGAACGCACAUUGCGCCCAUUAGUAUUCUAGUGGGCGUGCCUGUUCGAGCGUCAUUAAGUCCACUUAAGCCCUGCUUAGUGUUGGGAGACUGCUCCAGCGGUGCUACCCUGUAGCUACCCUGCAGCUCCUCAAAGACAGCGGCGGAGUUGUGGUAUCCUCUGAGCUUAGUAACUUGUUCUAGCUUUCGAGUACACCACUUCCCCUGCCGUAAAACCCUUAAUUUUUAAUGGUUGACCUCGGAUCAGGUAGGAAUACCCGCUGAACUUAAGCAUAUCAAUAAGCGGAGGA